RNAcentral lists this ribosomal RNA (492 nucleotides) under uncultured bacterium. Its description in RNAcentral is "partial 16S ribosomal RNA". It matches the Rfam family "Bacterial small subunit ribosomal RNA", at positions 29 to 507 of the family's 1533-position model. The record is from RNAcentral.
AGUGAACGCUGGCGGUAGGCCUAACACAUGCAAGUCGAACGGCAGCACAGUAAGAGCUUGCUCUUACGGGUGGCGAGUGGCGGACGGGUGAGGAAUACAUCGGAAUCUACUUUUUCGUGGGGGAUAACGUAGGGAAACUUACGCUAAUACCGCAUACGACCUACGGGUGAAAGCAGGGGAUCUUCGGACCUUGCGCGAUUGAAUGAGCCGAUGUCGGAUUAGCUAGUUGGCGGGGUAAAGGCCCACCAAGGCGACGAUCCGUAGCUGGUCUGAGAGGAGGAUCAGCCACACUGGAACUGAGACACGGUCCAGACUCCUACGGGAGGCAGCAGUGGGGAAUAUUGGACAAUGGGCGCAAGUCUGAUCCAGCCAUACCGCGUGGGUGAAGAAGGCCUUCGGGUUGUAAAGCCCUUUUGUUGGGAAAGAAAAGCAGCAGGUUAAUACCCAGCUGUUCUGACGGUACCCAAAGAAUAAGCACCGGCUAACUUCGUG